CUAUUAUUCUCAGCAACUAACUCGCAAAAUCCAUAACGGAAUACAGACUACCAAGCGCUUCUGUCCAUUUAACUCUAGUUUAUUCAAUGGAUCCAGGUGAUGCAGGUGUCUGUGAUCAGCUGAUUCUGCCCUCCAGCCCCUGGUUAAAGCCCUGUGGAGAGGUCGAUGCUGUCUGUGGCAACAGUGAGCAUGGACACGGCUCUUUCUGUGAGCCAAAAGUGUAGGCCUACUCAUCUCCAAGUCCAGAGGACACAGAGAAGAGGGCAUGGCGUGUAAUUAGCAGCCUCUAGCAGAAAAUUGUUGCAGUGUCCUACAAGCAUCUGAUUUCCCCGCCACUGUCUCGGUACUUACGCGUGAACCCAGAGAAGAAUGGAAGAAAUGGAAACCAAACCACUCUGCUGGCCCUUUUUCUCUAUGUCAACACCACCAAUCACUUUCUAAAUUGUGAAUAAAUUAGAUGCAUUGAACAAAUAAAGUUUGAAAACAGCA
Micropterus dolomieu (smallmouth bass) is the source of this 489-nucleotide long non-coding RNA. RefSeq lists it as uncharacterized. NCBI's taxonomy places the organism in Eukaryota, Metazoa, Chordata, Actinopteri, Centrarchiformes, Centrarchidae. The record is from RefSeq and is a predicted model, not a curated record. The transcript is spliced from 2 exons.